Molecule: long non-coding RNA, 1449 nt
Filed under: Chrysemys picta bellii (western painted turtle)
Lineage: Eukaryota; Metazoa; Chordata; Testudines; Emydidae
Description: lncRNA (ENSCPBG00000010560.1)
Source: RNAcentral
ACCCGCCAGGAGGUGCAUUUCUAGUUCUCCCCCCGUACCAACCCGCCCUCUCCCUGUGAUUGCAGAAACAGACGGCAGCCGAGAGGGGGAAGAUCGUCUGGGAGUGGCAGGAGCUGCGAGGGUUUCUGGAGGGGCAGGAGCAGCGGCUGCUGUCCCGGCUGGAAGAGCUCGAGAGAGCCAUUGCCCAGAGAAGGGAUGAGGGCGUCUGCAGCCUGUCCCGGGGGAUUUCCCUGCUCAGGGAGAGGGGAGGAGACGAGGGGCAGCAGCCGCUGAGCCAGUCCCUGCAGGUCAGACUUGUUGCAAUGAUCGUACGCAGCGUUCCUAUAGCACAGAGGGUGCCGGGAGCUGUGGGGGCAGGUAAGUCCUGGGCUCUGUCUCACUCCCCUCGUGGUGUGUUAGGUCUGGUAACUGCACUGAAUACGGAGCUUCCCCCAGCCCCUGCAGUGUGAUGCCGGCUUAGAGCCUGUGAGUCUGUCUCCCCUAGCGGCUGCCUCAGCAGGGGACGGACCCUGUUACUCUCGGGCAGCUGAUACGGUCCCACCAGGGCUGUCAGACGUAUGGGCCAGACCGGGCCUGUCUGACAUAUUUAUGUAGCCACAUCACUUAUUCACGGUGUGCAGAAUCUCAGCCUUCCAUUUUUUUUUUAAAGUAAGUUUCUAGCCUUCCUGGUUACAAAGAAACCCUCCCAAAUAGACACGGAGACAGUGUUGCCUUCCUGAGUCUGCAGACAGCCUGAAACAGCAGCUCAGAGAAGCGUGAAUGCCCUUGGCCUCCGUUAAUCUCAUUGGAGUGUCCGCAUAGACGCUGACUUCCUUUAUUCCCGGGAGGCGGGGGUGGUGCUUGAUCCCAGAGUCUCCCCUUUGUGCCUGGGUGUCCUGCUGUGAAUGGAGGUGUGGUGCAGAGUCUUAAAUUGAUGCCCUGGCUCCCUGACUGUAUCAGAAAGUGGAAUACGGCCCUGUCCUCCAAAUGAGCUGGACACCCCAGGGUUACUGCUUCAGCGGAAGGGCUCAGGGUUUUUGGUGUUAAGGGUCCACGUUCAUUCCCUGCUGAAGAUACGGCCUCUGUCUGUGUCCACACUGAGUAUGUGGGACACACCCAUUCUUUGGUCUGUGUCUCCUCCCUUUCCACGUAAUCCCAGUGCUGGUGCCCCAUGUUACCGGUAUUUCCCAGUGUGGGAGGUGGCUGUGAACAUAAGAAUGGCCAGACUGGGUCAGACCAAACUGUCCAUCUAGCCCAGUAUCCUGUCUUCUGACAGUGGCCAAUGCCAGAUGCCCCAGAGGGAAUGAACAGAACAGGGAAUCAUCAAGUGAUCCAUCCCCUGUCCCCCAUUCCCAGCUUCUGGCAAACAGAGGCUAGGGACACCAUCCCUGCCCAUCCUGGCUAGUAGCCAUUGAUGGACCUAUACGCCAUUAACUUAUCUACUUCUUUUUUUUAACCCUGUUAUAGUCU